CAUAUGUCAACGCCGAAGGAAAGUCUCGUAUCCAAUUUCAGAGGAAUCCAAAAACCUGUAAUGGAUGAAACAGUAAUGAAAAUGUUGAGAAGUUUGUUGCACAUCAAACGUGGUAAUGCAAUCAGGUGGUGUAGAGCAUGGAUGAGCUUUAUCUUCUGGAAAUGCCGCCACAAUUAACAGCAUUCCAAGCAACGCGGCUAACGAGAUGGGGAGGGAAAGCAAAUGAUUCUCGUAGUGGCUACAGGCAAUAACCAUAACAUCUUGAUCGGAAGAGGUGGUGAUCAGCCGCAUUACUUACACUGAUGUUUAAAAUUUCUUAAACAAAAGGCAAAACAAUAAAAAUGUUCUUGGGUUA
Molecule: long non-coding RNA, 355 nt
Organism: Musca domestica (house fly)
Lineage: Eukaryota; Metazoa; Arthropoda; Insecta; Diptera; Muscidae
Exons: 3
Source: RefSeq, a predicted model, not a curated record